RNAcentral lists this ribosomal RNA (252 nucleotides) under uncultured bacterium. RNAcentral describes it as "partial 16S ribosomal RNA". It matches the Rfam family "Bacterial small subunit ribosomal RNA", at positions 524 to 776 of the family's 1533-position model. The record is from RNAcentral.
UACAGAGGGUGCGAGCGUUAUCGGAAUUACUGGGCGUAAAGGGCGCGUAGGUGGUUGUGUAAGUGAGAUGUGAAAUCCCCGGGCUUAACCUGGGAACUGCAUCUUAUACUGCAUAGCUUGAGUACAUGAGAGGGUAGUGGAAUUUCCGGUGUAGCGGUGAAAUGCGUAGAGAUCGGAAGGAACACCAGUUGCGAAGGCGGCUACCUGGACUGAUACUGACACUGAGGCGCGAAAGCGUGGGGAGCAAACAGG